GAUCCUGGCUCAGGAUGAACGCUGGCGGCGUGCCUAACACAUGCAAGUCGAGCGAAGCACUUUGCUUAGAUUCUUCGGAUGAAGAGGAUUGUGACUGAGCGGCGACGGGUGAGUAACGCGUGGGUAACCUGCCUCAUACAGGGGGGAUAACAGUUGAAAUGACUGCUAAUACCGCAUAAGACCACAGCACCGCAUGGUCGGGGGGGUAAAAAAACUCCGGUGGUAUGAGAUGGACCCGCG
RNAcentral lists this ribosomal RNA (240 nucleotides) under uncultured bacterium. Its description in RNAcentral is "partial 16S ribosomal RNA". It matches the Rfam family "Bacterial small subunit ribosomal RNA", at positions 15 to 235 of the family's 1533-position model. The record is from RNAcentral.